AUGGCAAAGAGUUCUAGGAAUCACGCAUCCAGGGGGGAGUCCCCUAACCAACGGUCGAACCAGAACAGGGUCGAGGUCCCGGAUCCAAUUGAGAUGGACGUGCCGAUGCGAAGGACGGGCAGAAGCUGGAUCCCGGACUACCAGAACUGGGAUCCACCCAUCGAGGCCCCGAGCCCCCGAGCCGAGCAACCCCCUCCCCCCUCGUUCCAUUCGCCCUCCUCGCUCGAUUCCUUCUGCAAACAGAGGCAGUGCCUCCUCCUCUGUUCUAUCCCUAACCCUAACCCUAAGGCGACGGCGCCGUUGCCCGCGGCUCAGCCUGACCCGCGGCCUCUCCCUUCACCGACGGCGCCAUCUCAUCCGAGUCCGAGCUGGACGAGCACGUGUACAACGGGGAGGCAGCAAGGCCGGCACGCCGUCGGUCCGUCCUUCCCUGGUUCCUCACCGAGUGCCACGAAGAGGAAGAGAGUUUCAGGAGAUGUAGUGAAGGAGAAGGGGAAUGAAGUACUAGUAAUCAAUAGGCACCUUUUCCCCACUGUGCUUGUGAACCAUCAACAGACUAUGAUAGCUUUUUUGGUUUACUAUACUUUGAUAAUGGUGAAGGAGAAGGGGAAUGAGAAGGGAAAGGGUGCUGGUAAGGAGAAUGCGAAGGCGAAGGCAAAGGAGAAGAGCGUGAAUUACCUAAUUAGGCAAGAUUCGGCGCUGCCUCCGCCGGUUCCGAGGAAGAAGAAGAAGCCUAAGGUGCAGAUUAGGAAGGCGAAAGACUUUCCCAAUGCCCCAGCGGGAGAGUUGAUUUGUAGGUUAAAAAAACACCCUCCACCUCCUCCGCGUCUCCCCGACCGCACCGGUGCCGGCGUGCGUGCCGCGGAAGCCGCUGCCUCUGGCUCCGCAACCUGCUCCGAGUUGCCUCAUGCACCUACUAUUGUGGUAGAAGACGAGGAGGAGGAGGACGAGGAUAAGGACGAGGAGAAGGACGAUGAGGAAUAUGAGGAGCAAAAUCUAUUUAUAGUCCCACCACAAGCAAGUGCUGAUAUGUCGGAUGAUGAUACAUCAGAAGGGUAUAAGGAAUCAGCUGAUGAACUGGAAGGUGACACUAUGUCCGAGGAAUCACUUGUGCAUGUUGUUUCUAGUGAGGGGGAUGCAAGAGAAAGGAAAAAGAAAAAGAACAAUAGGCCAAGAGCCAAUGCUCCUGUUAGGAUGUCAUCGGAUGUUUGGGCCCAUUUUUACAAGGUCAAAGAGGCAUCAACGGAGCAUCCCGGAGAGACGGUGUUGAAGGUUGUUUGUAAUUAUUGUCCCAAAAAGAGGUAUGCGUAUACCCAAGGUGGCAGCACAUCAACUAUUGGAAGGCAUAUGUUAAAAUGUGAUGGUUUAAGGGACAAGAUGGCUAGGAAUGCCAUCCAAACAACUCUUGAAUUGCGCAGAAUCAAUGGUCCAACAAGUGGUCCAACAAUGCACCCCUCUAUUGAGUACAACCAAGGAAUCGUUAAGGAGCUUAUUGCUAAGAUGAUAUGUGUGCAUGAGUAUUCAUUUAGAAUGGUUGAACAUGAGUGGUUCAACAUUCUAAUGAAGUGCAUGAAUCCAAAUUAUAAACCCAUUGGAAGGAAGGCAAUACGAGCCGAGUGCAUGAGGGUUGACAAGAACGAAAAAGAGGUGCUUAAAUCUCUCCUAAAGGGUGUGAGCUCCAUAUGUCUAACUACAGAUUUGUGGACAAGCAACCAAACCUUAUCUUACAUGUGUGUGGUUGCACACUAUAUAGAUGGGAAUUGGAACUUACAAACCCGUGUGCUUGCUUUCAUAGAGUUGGGUCCUCCUCACUCUGGAAAUGUCAUUGCGGAUGCUCUCUAUGCGUGUGUGACAGAAUGGAAUAUUGAGACCAAAAUUAUGUCCGUCACACUUGACAACGCUUCAAACAAUGAUGGUGCGAUCGAUGCUUUGAAGGCCAAGUUCUUGUUUCGGAGAGGUAAGAACUUCGAAGGCCAAUAUUUUCAUAUCCGUUGUUGUGCACAUAUCCUCAACUUGGUCGUGCAAGAUGGGACAGCGAUCUUAGAUAAUUUGAUAAACAGCUUGAGAGAGACGGUGAAGUACUUCAAGAGGUCACCUUCUCGUCUCCAUGCUUUUGUUGCCACUUGCAAAAGCUUGGGUGUCAAAGUUGGAAGUUUAUAUCCCACUUCGAACAUCUUCUACCCAUACAUUGUUGGCGUCAAGCUUGCAAUCAAACAUGCAAUGACUAGUGAUAGUGACCACUACAAGGAAAUGGGUGAAGCAAUGUUGGAGAAGUUUGACAAAUAUUGGGAAGAAAAGAACAAUGCCAUGGUGAUCGCAACCAUCUUUGAUCCACGGUACAAGAUUGGUUACAUAGGGAGGGCCUUUGGAGAACUAUAUGGAGAAGGAAGUACGAGGUUUAGAUCUGAGAUCAAAAUCGUGGAGAAAGAGUUGGCGGCCUUGUAUGACAAAUGUGUUGCUCAAGAUAAGCGAGCUGGAAAUGGAGAAAGCUCAUCUUCCUCUACAAACAUUCCUAGUAUCCUGGUUCAAGCUGGGUACGAGUCCUUCUUAUCGUCCUGUUCAACAAGAAUAUCAAAGAGUGAGUUGAGGAACUACUUAGAGGAUGAGGUUGCCCCUCGCAACAAGGCUCUUGAUCUUCUUGGUUGGUGGAAAGACAAUGCUCCUAGGUACCCAAUUAUGGCCAAGAUAGCCAGGAGGUUCCUUACUAUCCCGGCUACCUCCGUCUCUUCGGAAUCUAACUUCAGCACGACCGGAAGGAUUUUAGAUGACUAUAGGAGUUCGUUAAAACCGGUUAUGGUGGAGGCAUUAGUUUGUGGUGCAAGUUAUAUCAAGGGUGCUCAUGUUGACUUGAAUCUGGUGCCGAGGGAUGAGAAUGAAGAGGAUGAUGUUGAGAACAUCAAGUUACCCAUUGUGGUGGAGGAGAUCAAUGAUUGGUAA
Molecule: ribosomal RNA, 2937 nt
Filed under: Triticum aestivum (bread wheat)
Lineage: Eukaryota; Viridiplantae; Streptophyta; Magnoliopsida; Poales; Poaceae
Description: partial small subunit ribosomal RNA
Source: RNAcentral